This 28309-nucleotide long non-coding RNA is filed under the name Capsicum annuum. RNAcentral's name for it is "long non-coding RNA (CANN_LNC009164)". The record is from RNAcentral. Lineage: Eukaryota; Viridiplantae; Streptophyta; Magnoliopsida; Solanales; Solanaceae.
UGGUUUACUAACAAGGCUGUUCGGGGGAGCGUAUGGUCGAUAGUGGCUGCUUUGCUUUCCACCUACUCCAUAACACCGACGGCUCCCCCUCUAAAAUAAGGGUGACUNNNNNNNNNNNNNNNNNNNNNNNNNNNNNNNNNNNNNNNNNNNNNNNNNNNNNNNNNNNNNNNNNNNNNNNNNNNNNNNNNNNNNNNNNNNNNNNNNNNNNNNNNNNNNNNNNNNNNNNNNNNNNNNNNNNNNNNNNNNNNNNNNNNNNNNNNNNNNNNNNNNNNNNNNNNNNNNNNNNNNNNNNNNNNNNNNNNNNNNNNNNNNNNNNNNNNNNNNNNNNNNNNNNNNNNNNNNNNNNNNNNNNNNNNNNNNNNNNNNNNNNNNNNNNNNNNNNNNNNNNNNNNNNNNNNNNNNNNNNNNNNNNNNNNNNNNNNNNNNNNNNNNNNNNNNNNNNNNNNNNNNNNNNNNNNNNNNNNNNNNNNNNNNNNNNNNNNNNNNNNNNNNNNNNNNNNNNNNNNNNNNNNNNNNNNNNNNNNNNNNNNNNNNNNNNNNNNNNNNNNNNNNNNNNNNNNNNNNNNNNNNNNNNNNNNNNNNNNNNNNNNNNNNNNNNNNNNNNNNNNNNNNNNNNNNNNNNNNNNNNNNNNNNNNNNNNNNNNNNNNNAAAAUGUAAAGUCCAGUCCAAUUAUUACAACCCGAAAUAAAAAUACUGAAAUAACCUACACUAGUCCUAAACCAUGCUUUACCCGAUGCCUCGGGCCUUGAUCACGAGCAUCCUUAGCGUACAAAAUUCUUCGGGGCUUUCCCCGGUUAAAUAAAUAUACUUUUCAAAUACGAUAAACAAGACAUUCAACAAAUAUUCCAAUCAUUCCAACACUACACCAAUCCUAAAAUUGCCUACCCGAGCUUACUGUUUGCCUACCCGCUCGACGACAUAUCGCAGUCAACAUCAACAAUGUAUCAAAAAUAUCAUAAUAUUCACUUUUAUCAAUUUUCGAUUCCCGUCCCCAAAUUUUAUUUCAACCAAUCGCGCCAUUAAAACUAAUCAACCUCUUUCAUCAAUACCACCGGAGUCACAUCGCCAAGCACGUGAUCAUAACAACAACAACAUCAGACAAUUACAAUCACCUAACACAUAAUCAUAGCCAUUUCAACAAAAAUAAAAUAAAGAAGAAAGUACGGGAGUAAAGAGAUGGACCUCAAGAGCUUUCGAUUGAUUUUAAUAAGAAGAAUAAGAGCCGCUUCAAGACCCUCGAUAAAUCAAAAUUCAAACUAUGAUCCAACUCCAACCCGGUAGCCUUCGAAAUUCCAUCUGAAACCCUAAAACCAAAACAAUAACAAAGUUUCCUAAAACCAGUACGAAAAUCCACGAAGAAUACCCAACAGGCCAACAUGAGACGUAAAUUCAAACGGAAUAGCGACAAGGAACCUGUUUCGGAUCAGAUUUAAGAAAAAUGAGAUCAAUAAUAUCAUUUUUUUUUUCUGAUAGACGCGUCAAAACAGUAACGGAGAAACAUUGGGUGUUCUCCGGUGGGGUUUUUGCCUGAAAAUUGAGAGGUACGUCGAGAUUUUGGGGGUUGCGGGACUGGGUGAGGUCUGGUCAGCUAAGAAAACGGUGGCUGGCUUUACUGUUUCGCCGACGGAGGGCUGGUCUGCCGGUGGUGGAGCAGCGACGGUUGGAGGCGCUGGAGGGGAGAACGAAGGAAGCUGGCGGUGGUUUGAUGGCGGUUCCGUCGAUUAGGUUCGCCGAUGGUGUCGCCGGUGGGGGAGAGAGAGAGAGGUUUUUGAGAGAGAGAGUGAAAGUCUAGAGAGAAGGAGAGAGAGAAAAAGUUUGGCGGCGCCGGCGGCGGCGCUGUUGUCGCCGAUGGGGGAGAGAGAGAGUAAGAGAGCAGCUUUUUUCUUUUUUUUUUUAUAUAUGCUCUCUAUAUGCCCUCUUUGGUUUUUGUGUGUAUGUGUGUAUAUAUUCUUUUCCAAAAAUAGAAGAAUGGUCCUUUUUCUUCCUUCUUUCCUGGAAGUUUCCCAAUGUUUAUUUCUUUUUGCUAAAGAAAAUGAGGGAUCCACGUGGAGGUAAGGGUAUGGUAGGUAGGUAGAGGGUGAUUUGUCAUUUUCUUAUUGGAGAGGGUUGUUAGGAUGUUAAAAAGAAUAAAUGUUUGCUAGGGAUUUUGUUGAGAGUUACUUUUUUUGUAUUUUUGUGUGAUGUAAUCACGUGGGUGAGGGUACAUGAUAUAAUAAGGUAAAAAUGAAUAAAAUCGAACUUUUGAGGGGGAUAAAAUUACGUGUCUACAUAAAAUAAUACAAAAUUUAAAUUAUUAUAUUUAUAUUUGACUAUUUAUAAAUUGUUAUUAUGUUUUGUUAAAUAUAAAAUUAAUUAAUUAUUAUAUUUGUUAUUAUUUUUAUUUUAUUUUAUUUAUUUAUUAUUAUUAUUACUAUUAUUUCCUAUAUUUUCUAUAUAUAUAAAAAAAAAGGGAGGAGAGAAAUCAACAGAUACUGCAACAAGAAAUCAAAAAAAAAAUCGAAGAAAACUACUGAGAAGAGGAGAGAAAAGCAUUAGAUAAAAGGGAGAAAAGAAGGAAGUAAAAUUUGAAAUAUCAUUCAAAAUUUUUGGUGACGAAUCUCAUUGUUCAGUCUAAAUUAUUCAGGUUCUUUUCAAUCUUUGUACUAUUAUUUUUUAAGUUUCAUGAUGUAUCAAAGCAUUGAUCAAAUUUUUUCAUGUAAUUUCAUGCAUAUUUUUUUUAGUGCAUGUGGUUGACUAAUUAUGCAAGUUUUAUCGUUAUUGGGAGUUGUACAACUAAGUUAUUGAAUACUUAUAUAUUUGUUUGUUGAUUUAGAGUUUAAUAUAUUCUUGUGUCGGGUCUACAUUGUGAGCUUUUUUUCUUAAAUACUAAUAUCAAAAUACUUAGAAUAAAGUGGGGGAGAAGAGUUAUGAGGGAAGAUUUAUUUUAAUCAAAAUAUACUUCUAUGUUAACUGCUGUUUGUAAUGUUUAAGAGUCUAGUAUCAUAUUAGUCUCUAAAAUUAUAUUUAAUAAAAAAAAAAGGAGUCGUGUAUUUGGCAAACCACAGUGAACUAGGUUAAGUGAAUAAGUUAGAACCUUUGUUGGUUAAGGGACUUUAAAUUAAUAUUUUGUUGGGACCUUUUCUUCCCAGUUCACGAUUUAACUCUAGUAAGGCUUAAUGGUGUUCUUUUUAGUAUUUAUUACUUCUAAGUCACUUGUUUAGUUUAAAAAGUAGUUUGAAAUAGACAUCAUCAUAUUAUAUAAAGGUUAGUCUUUAAUUUAUGGUUUACUGGAAUGUGGAAGUAGAUUUUACAAAUCACAUAAUAAUACUUGUGUGGUCGUUGGAGUCCCACAUAUGGUUUAUUUUGUUAUAUUUUAGAUCACUGCUUUAUUUUUAUUUUUAUUUUUAUUAUUUAUUUUAUUUAUUUAUUAUUAUUAUUAUUAUUGUAGUUAAUAAAACUCAAUAAAUUAUUAGUUAUGUUAAUUUAUCAUUUAAAUAAAUAGUAUAUAUAAUAAAUCUUUAUAUAUUAUAUAUAUAUAUAUAUAUAUAUAUAUAUAUAUAUUAUUUUAUUUAUUUUUGAAUAAAUUUAAUAAUUACUUAUUGAAUUAAUUAUUUUCUAUAAUUGAAUAUUGCUUUCAUUUAUUGUCAAGUUUAAAUAGUAUUUCGAAAUGAUAAAUUGUAUGAGUUUACAAAAUUAAACCAAAGUUUUAACGUUAAAUAAAUUUUAGACACGUUUAUAAUAUUCGUCUUAAUUAAGAAUGCAGCGUACGCAUCUUCUCGAGACAUUUAAAAUUUCAAGAAUGUAAUAAUACAUCUUGAUAAAUAUGUUUUUUUUUUAUAAAAUUAAAGUUUCAUCGAUUUAUUUAAUAUAAGAUAAUCGUUGAAUAUUUUUAGUAUAAUAAAAAAUGAGCGAACCUAGGCCUUAACAUAAUUUAAUAAAAUAGUUUGUCAAGAUAAGUCAAUAAAAGCGAACGUGCUAGAACCAUGGGACUCAAGGGGUGCCUCACACCUUCCCUUCGGUCAACAGAAUUCCUUACCUGUUUUCUAUUUUCGCAGACCAAAAUAAAGAGUCAUUUUCUUUUUGACUAGAGAUUUAAAAAAGUGACUUGGAACACCAUAAUUCAAUUUCAAGUGGCGACUCUAUAAAUUAAAAUAAUCCCUAUUCAAUAUCGUCACUUUAAUUGAAAAAACCUUUCGACUUCGAUCCUUGGGUGAAAAAGGGGUGUGACAUCUCUGGCGACUCCGCUGGGGACUAAUAAGAAUUCGAGUUUUUUAUAUUGACUCAUACUUGCUUUAAUUAUUGAUGAUAUUGUGUUUGUUGGCCUUAUGUGCUACUUAUCGCUUAUUUAACGGUUUGAUAUUGAUUGAAUUAUAUUAUAUAUUGUCUUCUCUUGCGCACCCUCUCUGAGUCUCUGAAAUAGGAUAGAAGGAAUGCAGCAUAUGCAUCCUACUUUCUUUUUGAGAUAGCCAGAGUGUCAAGGCACCUGGUGAAGGAUAUAGUCACACGUGUUAGGUGGGGUUCAGAUUGACAACGAAGGUGGUGUUGCCCUGCUACCGACCAAGUUGUCCCUCCCCGGCUCGAGUGUCCGCUCGGGUAAGUCAGUCUAGACACCUAUCCCUAUUAGGCUUAAACUUAGAAUAACUGAAAACUCAGAAUCUGGUUAUCCCUAUUAGGUGCCGCUUUAUUUGUAUCAUAUGCAUUUGACUUAGCGGGACUCGGUACAGGGGCCGGGCCUAUCUAGGACCGGUAACCUACUUUAUAAAGACCAACAUGUGCAACCUACGUGCUCUUUGACAUUUGUUUGGAAGGCUAUUUGUGUGUUGACCGGCUUUUAGGCAACAUUACAAUGCAAGAGAUUAAAUUAUCGUCACAUUUAGUGAAUUAUUUUGAAAGAAAAAUUGUAUUUUUAAAAGAGAAAAUUUUCAGUAACAUAGUUUUAUGAUUUUUAUGAACUACAAGGGUCUAAUUUUCAUUCUUUUGUGAGAUACGUAAGAAAUCCUGCUCGAAAUACGACCCUAUAUUUUGAAAAAAUAAUAAUAAUAAUAUAUAUAUAUAUAUGUAUAUAUUCAGAAAUUUACUUAAGGAUAUUUUUGAAAGAUAAUAAAAUUAAAUUAAAAAUUAAUCAUUUUCAUGAACAUUUUUAUUUUUAUUUUAUCCUUAGAAUUAAUUUUAAUACAAAUAUUAAUAACCUGAACCUUUUGGGGUCGUGAGCUGAAUUUUUUUUAUAAAGUAAUAAAAUAUAUAAACGUAUAUCUUAACAGUCCUGAACCUUUAGGGGUCGUGAAACCGAAAUUUUUAUAUAACUUCAUACAUAAAACAAUCAUUCUUUUUUUUCUAUGUCAUUCUAUUUUAUUUUAUUUUCUUUUUGUUCCUUUUAAGUGUACUUAGGGGGCAUUGUCUCCAAAUAUAUAGUUAAAAUUGUCUAGAGGUCUGUUAUUGCAAAGUUUUUGAUAAAGUCUAUUUAAAUAAGUAUUUUUUCCUAAAAAUAUUUUCAGUCAUGUUUUUCUCAUUUUGAUUUUGAUAAAAUUGUUCUUUGCAACUAAGUAAUGGUCGCACUAGGUCUCAUGAGUCAAGUUAAGAAUUCUGUUCAAAAAUUAAUGAAUUAAGUCUUGCCUAAGUUUAGACAUUUAUUAAUCUCAUGUCCUUGUCAAUAGGUAUAAAAUGUCUCCUCCUGUUUGUGGAAAGCGUCCAAAGAGAAAGAGGGAUGGGAGUAUACUGCUUCAGGUUGUGGAUUGUACCCCUUUGCAGCUUUGUUUGUGGUGGAACGAAAUGGAUACAUUCGAUUAUGAAGAGAUACAUAAGUUUUUAGGUUUUUUGACGAGUAUUAUGUCAAUCAAGCCUAAUAGGGAGAUGAUUGAUGCAUUACUAACCUUUUGGGACCCGAAGAACAAUGUGUUUCACUUUUUGGAUUUUGAGUUGACUCCGACUGUAGAGGAGAUAGCAGCCUAUGUUGGAUAUGGGGAUAUGCAUCGGAAGAAACUUAUAGCCUCAAGACUCAUUUUGAUAAACAGAUUCUGCAAGCUCAUGAGCAUACAAAACUCAAAUGUCUCCUCCUGUUUGUGGAAAGCGUCCAAAGAGAAAGAGGGAUGGGAGUAUACCGCUUCAGGUUGUGGAUUGUACCCCUUUGCAGCUUUGUUUGUGGUGGAACGAAAUGGAUACAUUCGAUUAUGAAGAGAUACAUAAGUUUUUAGGUUUUUUGACGAGUAUUAUGUCAAUCAAGCCUAAUAGGGAGAUGAUUGAUGCAUUACUAACCUUUUGGGACCCGAAGAACAAUGUGUUUCACUUUUUGGAUUUUGAGUUGACUCCGACUGUAGAGGAGAUAGCAGCCUAUGUUGGAUAUGGGGAUAUGCAUCGGAAGAAACUUAUAGCCCCAAGACUCAUUUUGAUAAACAGAUUCUGCAAGCUCAUGAGCAUACAAAACUCAAAAGAAGGAUCAAUGAAAAAAGGUUGGGUUUCCUUGCAAUUUUUGUAUGACAGAUAUGGAAGGCAAGAGGGGUUUGAAAAGUACGGUAAACAUCUUUGUAAUAAGGGAAGUUUUGAGGCUUGGAAAGUUCAUAGAUGAUUUGAAUUCAUGGUAGCCUUUCUAGGCACUAUGGUUUUCCCUAGGAGAGAAGAAAAAAUUAAUAUUCGUUUAGCGGGGGUGGUACAUAUACUGAUUAAGAAAGAUUACACUAUGGUACCAAUGAUCCUGGCAGAUAUCUAUCGUGAUUUGACCAUUUUUCAGAAAGGAAAGAGUUUUUUGGAGGGAUGUAAUAUGUUGUUAUAGAUGUGGAUUGUGGAGCAUCUCUAUCGACAUCCUAUAAUGGCAAGAUUUAAUUCGGAAAGAUUCAAUCGCAUCAAAGAUUACGAAGAGAGGUUAGAGAAAUAUAUAUGCCCAGAAGGAGUUAGAGAUUGGGAUAAGCUUUUUCGUUCUCUGACAACAGAUAAAAUCACUUGGAAUCUCCCUUGGUUCCCUUGGAGGCAAGUCAUACAUAGUUCUGUCAUUCGGCCGUUCUUGUUAUUAAUGGGUAUUAGGGGUGUUCAACCAUAAGUUCCAUUGAGAGUUCUACGCCAGCUAGGAAGACAUCAAAUAAUUCCUAUAAUAGAAAAUAUGACCGAGUUUGUAUUUGAGGUCAGACCAGAAAUCCCACUUCAGAAGGAAUUGGCCCAGCAGAUUUGGGAGGGUUGUCGUGUCAUGGGGAAUGAAAUAAUGGUCAUAGAGCGUGAGAAAGGAGAAGUGCACCCAGAUUACCGUAAAUGGUUUGAAGAACAGUCGAGUCCGCCAGUCAGACCAGAAAGAUAGGUUAGGGGACCUAUAGAUCAGGAAACUGCAAUCAGGAUAGGAAUUGAGAGAGCCAUGCGAGACAUCAUGAGGCCAACCAAGCUUUGAGAGCAUAAUUAUAGCAUGCCAGGGCAAAAAUAGAUGAACAACAAAGGAAAUUUGUUGAAGAGAAAGCUAAAUCAGCAGAUAUUGAGGUUGCACUUUGGGGACAAAUCAAACUGGCUACCACUAGGGGUCACACGUUGAAGAACUUGCCGCAUCUCGCCGACAACAACUUCAAGAAGUUGAAAAGAAUAUACAAGAAGAAUUUGAUCAAGAGAGAUCUCAGUGGAUCCGUGAAAGAGAAAUAUUGCGAGAACAGUUGGAGGUUGCUUCUGCUCGUGAAAAGUGUGCAAGAGAGAUAGUUGAUUUCUGAGAUCGACAAGCCUAUGAAUGGGAUCAGGCCUUCAGUUCCCUUCAAGGGAAGGUCCACCGUUUAGCACAGGAUACUACCAGAAUGAGUUUGGAUUAUCAGCAGUUGUAUCAUGAAGACUUUUUGGCACAAGUACCAACUUUCGCACAGUGUCUCACUUCUUCAUUGGAGAAAAUAUACUUAGGUUUAGGAGGACAUAUCAAGCCGAAGUCUCCUUCAAUGGAUAGUUGUUCUUUUUGUCAUAGUUUUUCAUUUUCAGUUUUAAAACUUCUUGUUUAGAUGUUAUGUCUUUUAGUUUUCAGGUGUCAGUUAGUAGGUUUUAUUUUAGGAGUUGGGUCAGUUAUUUUGUCGUAUUUAUAUUAUGGAAUGUAAUGAAUUUGACCAUUUAUUUCUAUAUAUAUUACAUAUAUUUUACUCCAUUUACUUUAUUCAUUUUCUUCAAUAAAAAAAACGACAAAACAAUCAUUUUGUUAAAUUUCUCCCGAACUAGGCAAGAUCUGAUUCAUGUCCUGGCCUGAUACAUAGGCAACCCUCCAAAGGGUUCGAUCAUAACUUUUGAAAAAUACACGCGUAGAAAAGCCGGGAUGAAACAUAAAGCCUUCCAUGAUAGGUUGGAAAAUGCAUAUAGAAGCAUGACAUAUAACUUGGCAUUAUAAUGUGUUAAAAAUAUGUCACUCACUCGUUUGCUACUUGGUUACUGAAAGAUAAAGUAAUUGGUGGUUGGUUUGUGGUUUAAACUGGCAUCACAUCCGUAUAACACCAGAUACAAGGGUAAAAGAAAAAUGACUUGCAGAGAAGGUAUAGGGUUUGACAGUGAAGAAGAGCAAAAUCAAUUGAUUUCGUAGGAAGUAGCAUCAAUGGAAGAAAUAAAGUCAUUGAAUCAACAUAUAGUAGAGAUGUACCAGGCUUGGUUUAAUGGACAAGCCCCGCCUUCUUCAAUCCCUGGACUUUCGACUUUGAAUUAUCCAAAUUUUGACCCAGCUCAAAGUAGUGAUCCAUUUUACCCACCAGGAUUUGGCCCAUUUGCUAAUACGUCUAGAGUUGCUGGUACUUCUACCAUGCACCCACCAAAUUCGUUUGUCACAAAUAACCCACUUUUUACUUCUGUAGCAGCAGCUACUGUGGGUACUCAACCGACAGUAUCCAAGAAUAUGGAGAAACCAAGUCAUGAUAUGUUGUAUUCUCCUGAAAUGACUUUCAAAUCCCAAAAUCCACAUUAUCAUGUUCAUCAGCACGAUACUCCUAUUGUGGUUGAUUAGAUUACUAAGAAUGAGGAACAGGAAAAGAUGGCUAGAAAAGUUAGAAGCCUGGAGCAAAGUAUGAGAAAUAUGCAAGGAUUAGGUGGACAAAAAAGUGUUUUAUACAAGGAUUUGUGUAUGUUUCCUGAUGUCCAUUUGCCGAUAGUGUUUAAAAUGCCAAAUUUUGACAAAUACAAAGGACACGGCGAUCCUGUAGCUCAAUUGAAAAAGUUUUGCAAUCAAUUAAGGGGAGCAGGAGGAAAAGAAGAAUUAUUGAUGGCUUACUUUGGAGAAAGCCUUACAGGGAUAGCUUUUGAAUAGUUCAUUGACCAAGACAUUUCCCGUUCGCAUGUAUAGGAUGACAUGGCUCGAGAUUUUGUUUAGCAAUUUUAAUAUAACAUUGAGAUAGUGCCAGAUCGCACUACGCUUGCCAACAGAAGAAAAAAGAUAACUGAAAGUUUCUGAGAAUAUGCUAUCAGAUGGAGAGAGCAAGCUUCAAGAUUCAUACCAUCAAUAAAGGAAUCUGAAAUGAUUGAUAUCUUUCUGCAAGAACAAGAACCCAAUUAUGUCCAUCACCUACUUUCUACAAUUGGAAGCAUAUUUGCUGAAGUUAUUAAAGUUGGAGAAAUGGUAGAGAAUGGAAUAAAAUUAGGAAAGAUCAUCAGCCAGGCCACUUUGAAAGCAACAACACAGGCAAUUCAAAGUGGUGCAGGAAGUUUCGGGGGAAAUAAAAGAAAAAAGGAUGUAGCAGCUAUCGUACCAAGUCCACGGCAAAAUUGGAGAGGUGCGCAUCAACCAUAUGCAUGAAAUCCAUUAUAUUUCGUUCCAUCCCCCCAAAUCCUAUUUGCAAUGCACAACCAUAUGCUUGGGCUCCUUCUUACCCGCAAUGGCGUGCACUAGCCAUCAAAAUCAUCCACCGAUCCCACAAAUUCAAAGAGGCCCUCCUAGGUCUAAAUUUUGACCUAGAGCAGACUAAAAAAGGGAUAUCAUAGGUAAAGAUAAUUUCACUCCUAUUGGAAUAUCUUACACCAGUUUAUUUCAUAGGCUGAGGAAAAUGAAUGUUCUAAACCCAAUUGAGAGAAGGAUCUCAAAUUCUCCUCUGAAGAACUUGGACUAUUCUAGAAGAUGUGAAUACUGUUUUGAUGCCCCAGGGCACGACACAGAGAAAUGUUGGUAGCUGAAAAGAGUUAUUUGAGAGCUGAUUAAUACCCAACAGAUUAUGAUAGAAAGUCCAGACACUCCAAAUGUCAAUCAAAAUCCACUGCCAGAUCAUAAUGAAACAAAUAUGCUCAAAGUGAUACCCAAUGAUGAAGAUGCUACAAUAUCCUUCAAGCCGAUCAUUAAAAUUAAAACCGAUUCAAAAAAAUCACCAAAUGCUGUAGAUUUGACAAAAGAAAAACCUGCAGAAGUGGAUGUGGUGAUAAAAAAACUCGAAUUAUUGAAUGUCCCCUUGGUGGUGGGGAAAGAGAUUUCAAAAAAUGUUGGGUCAAGACAAGUAAAACCAAAGCUCAUUAUUCUUGGAAGAUCUCCCAAGCCUCUCUUAAUCAUAAAAAAAGCUCCCAUAGCUCCCAUUGUUAUUAAACCAGUGUCACAGUGGCCUAUGGUUAAUACCAAGGUAGUCCCUUGAAACUAUGAUCGUGUUAUGGUAAUGCACAAGGGGAAAGAAGUGAUUAAAGAUGUGGAAGAAGUUGGGAAAUUAACUCAAUCUGGAAGAUGUUAUGCUCCAGUAGAGUUAAGAAAGAAUAAACAAGGCAAAGAAGAAUGAAUGGCGUUUAAGAAGCCUGUUACUGAUGAAGAAGCUGAAAAAUUCUUAAAGAAAAUGAAAUCGCCAGAAUAUUCUAUUGUAUAAUAGUUGAAGAAGACACCAGCACCGAUUUCUUUAUUGUCUUUAUUAAUACAUUCAGAAGAACACCGUAAGGCUAUAAUAAAGAUUCUUGACGAAGCAUGUGUUUCCAGUGAGAUUAAAGUGAAUCAACUGAAAAAAAUUAUUGAAAGGAUACUUGAAGCAAAUAAGAUUACUUUUUCAGAAAAUAAGGGUCUCUAUAUUACUGUGCAAUAUGAGCAUUCCAUCGUCACUCGAGUGUUAAUUGAUGUAGGAUCAGGCGCUAAUAUUUGUCCUAUGUCAACUUUGCAAAAGUUGAAUGUUAAUGUAGAAAGAAUCCGACCUAACAAUGUAUGCGUCAAAGGUUUUGACGGAUCAAAAACUGAUGCCAUUGGUGAAAUAGAAUUCAUAUUGACAAUCGGGCCUGUAGGUUUUGCUAUGGAUUUUAAAGUGCUGAACAUUGAUGCUUCAUCUAAUAUGUUAUUGGGAAGGCCAUGGAUUCAUAAGGCUAAAGCAGUAACAUCAACAUUGCAUCAAAUGGUCAAAUUCGAAUAUGACAGGCAAGAGAUAGUUGUUCAUGGUGAAGGAGACUUAUCCAUGUAUAAAGACUACUCUGUUUCCUCUAUCAAAGUAGAUACUGCAAAUGGAGUAUUGAUUCAUCAAACUUUUGAGGUAGUGGCUGUUGAGCAUAUCCUCGAGGGGAAUCUCACGCAAGGCCACAAUUAUCCUCUGCACUAUUAUGGUAGUGAAUGAAAUAUUGAAGCAUGAUUUUGAACCAGGGAAAGGACUAGGGAUGUUUUUGCAAGGCAGAGUUCAUCCAGUAAACCUCCAUGAGAACGUUGGUACUUUUGGUUUGGGAUACAUGCCCACUGAUGAAGAUAUAAAGAAGGUUAAAAAACAUAAUAAAGAUUCAUGGACACUUACCAAGACGAUACCGCUACUUUACAAAUCCUUCAUCAAAGUCAACAUUGUUGGGUCCUCUAUGUUACCUGCUGCGGAGUCAGUAAAUGAUGAUGGUACAGAGUUGAUUGGCCUUUUCUAGAAUAUGUUCAUUGAAACUGAUAUAGUUGAAAGUGGGAAAGCUACCAGCAAUGCAGAUGUGCAGUUUAUCGGCCCUGAUGUCCAGCUUAAUAAUUGGGAGGCCACUCCUCUCCCUAUUGUGAAGGAAUCUUCGUAGUUUGUUUGUUUUCUUUCAAUCUUAGUAGUUUGUUUCUUUCUACUUCUAUAAUUUGAAUCGUUCUGGUAUUGUAAUUUCGAUCUUUAACUUGGUAUUUUAGGUUAAAACUCUUUAUAUCUUUGUUUUUAAUAAAAGUGUCGUCUCCCUUUAUUUUAUUUUGAGUCUGAUGUUUAUUUAUUUAUUUUUCUAUCAUAUAGUUUUUUCUAUGCUGAUUCUAAUGAUAUGACAUGCAUGAAUAAUUGUCAACCAGAUUUAAAAACUCAAUCUAAUUAUGAAAUAAUGAAUAAAGAAGUUGAAUACGAUGAAGGAGAAACAUUUGAGGAUAUAAGAAAAGAUUUCAAACAGUUUGAGAAUAAGACAAAUCCCAAUUUGGAAGAAAUUGAGGCGAUUCAUUUAGGAGAUCAUGAAAAUAUUAGGGAGACUAAGAUAAGUGUAAAUGCUCAACCACAACAAAAUAAAGCUAUAAUUGAAGCUUUGCCUGAGUAUAAAGACAUCUUUGCGUGGUCUUAUGAUGAUAUGCCUGGUUUGAGCACUGAUUUGAUAGUUCACAAGUUACCAAUUGAUCCUGUUUUUUCUCCGGUAAAACAAAAGUUAAGGAAGCUUAAAAUUGACAUGAGUGUAAAAAUCAAAGAGAAAAUCACGAAGAAACUUAAGGUUAAAGUCAUUCGAGUGGCCCAAUAUCCUACUUGGUUGGCAAAUAUUGUCCCUGUUCCAAAGAAGGCCGGCAAAGUUCGGAUGUAUGUUGAUUAUCGUGAUCUAAAUAAAGCAAGUUCAAAAGAUAAUUUUUCACCUCCCAAUAUCCAUAUUUUGUUAGACAAUUGUGCCAAACAUGAUCUUGCUUCUUUUGUGGAUUGUUAUACGGGGUAUCACCAGAUCAUUAUGGAUCCAGAAGAUGUGGAAAAGACACCAUUUAUUACGCCAUGGGGGACAUAUUGUUAUCAAGUUAUGCCUUUCGGACUAAAGAAUGCUGGGAAAACUUACUUGAGGGAAAUGACCACAAUGUUUCAUGAUAUGGUGCACAAAUAGAUUGAAGUUUAUGUGGAUGACGUGAUCAUUAAGUCAAGAGAGCAGUCUGACCAUGUCAAAGAUCUCAUAAAAUUCUUUGAAAGGCUUCGAAGAUAUGAUCUCAAACUUAACCCGGCGAAAUGUGUAUUUGGAGUUUCGUCAGGAAAACUCUUGGGGUUAAUAGUCAGUCGACGUGGCAUUAAGUUAGAUCCUUCAAAAAUAAAAGCUAUUCAAGAUUUGCCUCCACAAAAAAAUAAAAUAGAGGUGAUGAGCUUACUUGGAAGGUUGAAUUAUAUCAAUAGAUUCAUUGCUCAACUUACGACAACUUGCAAGCCAAUAUUCAAGUUGUUGAAGAAGAAUGCUAAAGUUGAAUGGACUAAAGAAUGUCAAGAGGCAUUUGACAGAAUUAAGAGAUACUUGUCGAAUCCGCCUAUUUUGGUUCCUCCAGAGCGAGGCAGACCCUUGAUAUUGUAUAUUUUUAUGUUAGUCAAUUCUUUUGGCUGUGUAUUGGGUCAGCAUGAUGUUACAGGCAGAAAAGAACAGGUCAUAUACUACCUUAGCAAAAAGUUUACCACUUAUUAGGCUAAGUACACUCUUCUUGAGAAGACGUAUUGCACCUUAACUUGGGUAACCCAAAAGCUGAAACAUUACUUGUCAUCUUAUACUACUUACCUCAUAUCUCGUAUGGAUCCUUUAAAGUAUAUUUUUCAAAAGCCUAUGCCCACAGGCAAACUCGCAAAAUAGAAAAUAUUACUCACAGAGUUUGAUAUUGUCUACGUGAUACUAACUGCAAUGAAAGCUCAAGCCUUGGCAGAUUAUUUGGCUGAAAAUCCUAUUGACGAGGGAUAUGAGUCAUUAAAAACUUAUUUUCCAGUUGAAUAGGUAUUGUUUAUUGAUGAGGUUAUUUCUGACGAUUGUCAUUCAGGCUGGAAGUUGUUCUUUGAUGGAGCUGCUAAUGUAAAAAGAGUAGGGAUAAGGGCGGUUCUUAUUUCUGAAUCAGGACAAUAUUAUCCUAUAACAACCCAACUUCGAUUCUACUGUACCAAUAAUUUGGCAGAAUACGAAGCUUGCAUUCUGGGAUUAAGAUUAGCCAUUGACAUGGGGGUCCAAGAACUGUUGGUAUUAGGAGAUUCAGAUUUAUUAGUCCACCAAAUUCAAGGAGAUUGAGAGACUCGUGAUUUAAAGCUCCUACCAUAUCAAGGUUGUUCGUAAGAUCUAUGUCAACGAUUUGUAUCAGUAAAAUUAAAACAUAUUCCCAGAGCUCAUAAUGAGAUUGUCGAUGCUUUGGCAACCUUAUCUUUGAUGCUUCAACAUCCCGACAAAACUUAUGUUGACCCUUUGCAUAUACAGAUUCAUGAUCAACAUGCAUAUUGUAAUAGGGUUGAGGAAGAACUUGAUGAGGAGCCGUAUUUCCAUGAUAUCAAAGAAUAUAUUCAGAUUGAAAAAUAUCCUAUAUAUGCCGAUGGUAACUAAAAGAGAACCAUUCAAUAUUUUUCUGGUGGAAUUUUCCUAAGUGGAGAAAUCUUGUAUGAGAGGACUCCUGAUUUGGGACUUCUGAGGUGUGUAGAUGCUGAAGAAGCUUUAAAAAUCAUGACUGAAGUACAUUCUGGUAUUUGUGGACCACACAUGAAUGGGUAUGUUUUGGCAAAGAAAAUACUCCGAGCAGGUUAUUAUUGGCUCACUAUAGAGCGUGAUUCCAUCAAUUUCGUUCAUAAAUAUCAUGAAUGUUAGGUACACGGGGAGUUGAUACAUUCCCCUCCAUCUGAGUUGCAUACAAUGACUGCUCUAUGGCCUUUUUAUGGCUUGGGGAAUGGACGUAAUUGGACCAAUUAAACCAAAAUGCCUCAAAUAGACAUAGGUUCAUCCUGAUAGCCAUUGAUUAUUUCACAAAGUGGGUGGAAGCAGCGACUUUCAAAUUAGUGACCAAGAAAGAAGUGGUUGAUUUUAUUCACUCCAACAUUAUUUGCCGGUUUGGCAUUCCAAAGAUAAUUAUCACGGAUAAUGCUGCAAAUCUCAACAGUCAUUUGAUGCAAGAAGUGUGUCAACAAUUUAAGAUUAUGCAUCGAAGUUCAACUCCUUAUCGUCCAAAGGCGAACGGAGCUUUAGAAGCUGCCAACAACAACUUAAAGAAAAUACUCUGUAAGAUGGUGCAGGGUUCCCGACAAUGGCAUAAAAAGUUACCUUUUUCUUGGUUGGGUUAUCGUACAACAGUUCAGACUUCAAUUGAUGCAACUCCUUACUUGUUGGUGUACGGAACUGAAGUAGUUAUACCUGCGAAGAUUGAAAUUCCAUCUCUUCGAGUAGUUGUAGAAGCUGAAAUUGAUGAUGACCAAUGGGUCAAGAAUCGUUUGGAGCAAUUAAGCUUGAUUGAUGAGAAAAUAUUAACAUCAUAUGUCAUGGACAACUAUAUCAGAAGAAAAUGGCACGAGAAUAUAAUAAAAAGUGCGUCAUAGACAUUUUGAAGUUGGUCAGUUAGUACUAAAACGCAUCCUACCCUAUCAUAUUGAAGCCAAAGACAAAUUUUCUCCUAAUUGGCAUGGACCAUUCAUGGUGAAGAAAGUGUUACCUAAUGGCGCAUUAUAUUUGACUGACAUAGAAGGCCAAAUAGAAGGAAUGUCGGUCAAUGUUGAUGUAGUUAAAAGAUAUUAUGUAUGAUAUUCAUGUACAAUUACAUUAUGUAUAUUUUGUAGUUGCAUUUUAAAAAGAUUGAAAUAAUGAAGGCAUUUUUUUCUACUAUCCGAAUAAUAUAUCAACCUUUGCUUACCCCUUUUGAGCUUUUAUCUUUCUUCGUACCCCUCUUUUGGAAUCAAAUUAAAGUGAAAAAAAGUUGAAAAAAAAAAAUUAAUCAAAAAUUCAAAAUCAAGCAAAAGAAUGACGAGCCUGAACUACGUUUGACCUGAUUCUUGCUAUGACAAGAUACGUAGGCAGCCCUACUCCGGGGUUCGGUCCAACCAAAAGGAAAUUCAAAUUAUCCAGAACGAAAGAAAACUGGGCAAAAGUUUAUUUUUUUAAAAGAAUCGAUUCCAAAAGUUGAAUGUUUUACCCAAUGUUGUGUAAAUUUUGAGCCUCAUGCCGACCUUUCUUUCUAGCCCUAUCCAAAAGUCAAGUUACAACCAAAGUAAGAUCUUCAGAUCAAUCUUUGAAAAUGUCAAGGCUAAACAUGUUAUGGGUGCAUGAUAUUUCAUAUUUUGGGUGUUUAUUUAAAAAAAAGAAUGAAAAAGAGAGCGUCUUAUUGGUGAAAACCUUGUUGGACACCAUAAUGCAACUGUAAGCUGAGAAAGAAGUAAAAAUGAGAUAGGUUCGUUGGAAAAACCCAUUGAGGUGACACUACCCGAAGGAGAGUUGUUAUCCAGAAGGAAUAAGUUCAAGAUUGGCUAAAUUUCAAGUUCAAUAAAUGGAUAAAAGUUGUAAUGAUUGGUGUGGGUAGAUCUGGUUGUUUGAUUCAAAAUGCAUGUCAUAAUCACAAGAAUCGGUUUCCACAUUCGGAUAAGUUUUAUUUUUUGUUUUUUGAAAAAGAGAUGCCUAUUGUCUUUUCCUUUUGAUUUAUUUUUAUUUUUGGUUUUUGUGUCCUUUUCAUCAAACGAAAAAUUUUUGUUGUCUUUUAUCCAUUUUUGAGUCAAAUUCACGUCAGGUCAAAUGAGAAAGUACUUCAAACUUGCUACUAACUUCUUCAAUAGUACAAAGCAAGACAAAGGGUCGACGCACAAGGACAACAUUUCAAUGUAUAAAGUACUCAGAAUAAUUAUGAUUUGACAAUUUUUGACUCAUGGAAAGAUAAAAGGUGUAGGAAAAGUUAAACCCUGAGGUAUUAUACAAGAGAAAUAUAUUUUGAGCUAAAAGUCUCAGUAGUCAGAAUUUUGGGUCAAAAGUAUGACAAGUCAAUGGAUAUAUAUCAAGGAUUGGAAAAGAGUUGAGCAUGACAAGUGCAAGAAUGGUCAUUUCAAGACCCGAAUACCACAAACCAACCACCAUGUGUUAAAACUCACUAUUUUUCUUUGUUUUAUUUGAAACAGAGAUAAAAAGUUUUCAAAUAAAGAAUACAAUCUCACACUUCUAUCAAUGCAAGAAUCAUGAUUACAACAUACGAUGUUGGAUCUCGGACUCUCCUGAAGAAUGGAAAUUUAUUUUAAUGCUCAGGGCUCUCCUAAAGAAUGGGAUGUUUUUUUUUUGUUUCACUAUUUACUUUGAGUCCAGGAUCCCGCCUGAAGAACAGAGUGAAGAAAUUGUAAGUCCAGGAGUCUGCUUGAAGAACAGGGUGAAGAAAAAAGAAAUCCAGGAGCCCGCCUGAAGAACAUGGUGAAGAAAUUGUAAGUCCAGGAGCCCGCCUGGAGAACAGGGUGAAGAAAUUACAGGUCCAGGAGCCCUCCUGAAGAACAGGGUGAAGAAAAAGGAAAUCCAGGAGCCCGUCUGAAGAACAGGGUGAAGAAAUUGUAAGUCCAGGAGCCGAUCUGAAGAACAGGGUGAAGAAAUUUUAAUUCUAGGAGCCCGCUUGAAGAACAGGGUGAAGAAAUUGUAAGUUCAGGAGCCCUCCUGAAGAAUAGGGUGAAAAAGAAGGAAGUCUAGAAGCCCGCCUGAAGAACAGGGUGAAUGAAAUAACAAGUCAGGAGCCCGCCUAAAUAAUAGGGUGAAUUUUCAAGUUCAAGUCAUAAAGAUUUGAAUUAAGAUUCUAGAGAUUGCAAUUUUUAUUUUUGUAGUCAUUUGAAUGUAAAAGACAAAAUUCGUGAACCGGAAACUCGACGGAAUCUCACUCGACAUUAAUUUUUUCUCUCACCAAAUUACCUUUGAACUACUCAUGACCUGAUUCCCUUAUAACCCGGGAUAGGUAGGAUGUCCAAAAAUAGGACUCGAUCAUAUUUUUCUUUUUCUUUUUAUUUUUUAUUUUACCUUUCAAAUAAUUGGAGGGUCAAAAAUCAUAUCUUGUCUUCUUCUUUUUAUGAAAACUCUUCGAGAUUUCACACAAAAAGGGGCAAAAAUGUAGACACGUGAUUUUUGAUCCUCCCUAAAUUUUAACUUGUUUAUCGAUAUUAAAUAUUUAUAUUUAUAUUUAAUCAUAUUUUAUUUUGAUUAUUAUUUUUAUUUGUAAUAAUUUUUUUUCAAAAAAUAAUAAUAAAUAAUUAAAUGAAGUUAAUUUUAAGAUAUUUUAUUUUUAUUUUAUUUUAUUUUAUUUUAUUUUUAUAUUUAUUUUUAUUUAUUUUCUAAUUUGUAAAAUAAUACAAAAUUAAAAAAAAUUAUUUUAUAAAUUUUUAAUAAAUAAAUUAAUAUUUUUAAUAUUAUUUUAUUUAUAUUUGACUAUUUAUAAAUUAUUAUUAUAUUUUAUUAAAUAUAAAAUUAAUUAAUUAUUAUAUUUGUUAUUAUUAUUUUAUUUAUUCAUUUUUAUUUUAUUUCAUUUAUUUAUUAUUAUUAUUACUAUUAUUUUCUAUAUUUUCUAUAUAUAUAAAAAAAAAGGGAGGAGCAUUAGUUUUUAAAUUUUAAUAUCCCUUUCCCCCUAUCAGAUAAUAACCAUUCCCCUCCAAAAAAGAUAACUACUCCCUCCCUAUGUACUUUACAAUAAACAUCAUCAGAUACUGCAAUAAGAAAUCAAAAAAAAAAAAUCUAAGAAAACUACUGAGAAGAGAAGAGAAAAACAUCAGACAAAAGGGAGAAAAGAAGGAAGUGAAAGUUGAAAUUCCAUUCAAAAUUUUCAGUGACGAAUCUCAUUGUUCAGUCUAAAUUAUUCAGGUCCUUGCUCAAUCUUUGUACUAUUAUUUUAUAAGUUUCAUGAUGUAUCAAAGCAUUGAUCAAAUUUGUUCAUGUAAUUUCAUGCAUAUUUUUUUUAGUGCAUGUGGUUGACUAAUUAUGCAAGUUUUAUCGUUACUGGGAGUUGUACGACUAAGUUAUAGAAUACUUAUAUAUUUUUUUGUUGAUUUAGAGUUUAAUAUAUUCUUGUGUCGGAUCUACAUUGUAAGUUUUUUUCUUAAAUACUAACAUCAAAAUACUUAGAAUAAAGUGGGGGAGAAGAGUCAUGAGGGAGGAUUUAUUUUAAUCAAAAUAUACUUCUAUGUUAGCUGUUGUUUGUAAUGUUUAAGAGUCUAGUAUCAUAUUACUCUCUAAAAUAAUAUUUAACAAAAAAAAAAGGAGUGUCACACCCCUUUCUCAACAUCCAAAAAAUUAAUUUUUAAGUUCGAAAGGGUUUUAUUAUUAAGUGACAAAAAUGAAAAUUCUGUUCCGAAAAGGAUUUUUUAUAAUUACAUUCAGAGUCGCCAGUUGGCAUAAUCCGGUGUGCCAAGUCACCUUUGGAAAAUUCUUUUCGAAAUGGUUUGACUCUUUAAAACUGGUUUGCGAACAAAUAUUCCGGCUAAGGAAUUCUGUUGACAGAGGGGAAGAUGUUAGGCACACCUCGAUCUCGUGGUUUGACCAUGGUCGCUUGGCGGAGCGUAUAGGCUAAUUUGACAUUAUGAAUAUAUAAACCAAACAAAACAUGUAAAACAAUCAAUCAAGCAAACAAGAUAAAACAAUCUAAAAUUUAGUGUCCAGUCCAAUUAUACAGUCCAAAAAUAAAAAAUGUGUAAAAAUAAAUCCUACUCUAAAUGUAUUCUAGACUAAUGCUCUACCCGACGCCUCGGGCCUUCAUCACGAACGUCCUCCGGGUACAUGAUACCUCGGGGCAUUCCCCGGUGAAUAAAUAUAUACAGAUACUUCGGGGCAUUCCCCGGCCAAAUUAUACAAUUGAUUCAAAAGUGAUAAAAUCAAACCAUUCAAUCAAAUUUCAAACAUUCAAUCAACCCACAAUCUCUAGAUUUUGCCUACCCGACCUACGUCUUGCCUAUUCCAAUCGGCGUAUCUUGAUACUACCAAAUUCAAUUAAUGUUUAUUUCAAGUCAAACAACUAAUGAAUCAAACUAAUCAAAAUUCACUAAUUAUAUCAAGUUUUCAAUUCUCGCCCCACUUAUUCCAUUUUUAUACCAAAUUCCAACGAUUCAAGACGGUUAUCUCAACAAUCCACAACCAUCUAUUCAAUGAAAUCAAACACCAAAUUAAUGUCACCAAAAUUCAACCACACAUCAGGCAAAUCAAAUAUGUAUGUAAAGUAAAAUUAGAAGAGAUAGAGUUGGACCUUGAAUGGACUUUUAUUUGUUGGAUUGUGUGAUUAGAAAAUGGAGCCGGAUUCAAAAUGUCCCGAUUGAACCUCAAACAAAAACCCCCAACUCGAUAUCCACUUCGAACUCGUAGUCCGAUUGAAAACCCAAUUUCCAAACAGAAAUGAAGAGGAAAUAUCAAACCGGCGUCAGUCUUGUAAAGAAAUGAGAGGUACCUGUACUGAAUUCCAAAGGAGCCAACCCAUAUAGAAAUCCCUAGAACCAAUGCUAAUUUCGGUGUUUUUAGGGGGCUUAAACCGAUCCGAUUGACGAACAAAAACCAAUUCCGAUGACCCCCUAACAAAUCUUGACCGAAUUUACCCCAAAAAAUCAGAGAAAAACAAUGAGUUUUGGGCAAUUUCAUGAUGGGAACAAUCAGACGAUAAAAGAGAAACCAGUUUCGGUGAGCUCGAGGCCAAAUCCGGUGAGCUUAGACUGAGCAACGACAAACACGGGUCACUUCCAGUGAGAUUUUGCCAGAUAAUAUCCAGAAACUGACCAAACCUUGUUCAAACUCUCUUCAUCCUCUCAAUCUACCCUUACUAUACUCUACUCUCUCUCUUCAUCGCCCUCUCUUGAUCUACUCUCUUCUCGUCAUCUCAUUGUGUUAUUAUUCUUUGUGGUCUAUAUCUGUGUAGUGUGUGCAUUAAUGGUGGUUUCUCGUGAGUGAAAUCUGCUACAGCGAGGAUGAGGGAUCGUAUAUGGGUGAAGUAUGGUGAAUGGAAAAUAUUAGUGAGGGUGUCUGUGAGUAGAUGUUGGAGAAGAAGGUGAAUUCUUCUUCUUUUUUUCGUGUGCUGUGAGUGUGAGUCUUCAGUAAAGUAUGUAAUUGUGUAUAUGGUAGCUGUGGGUGUGUGUUCUGGUAAGAGUAAAAGAAUGAAAAAAUGGAGCCAUCAAGGAGUGUGUGAGCUGUUGGAAUGGUGAGGAAAUUGUCCGUUAAUGGUGAGGUUAAUAGUGUAUUGUGUGUUGGUUGCUGCGUGGCUAAGUAUAUCUAUGGAAUGGAAAUAGAAGAAUUAUUUUCUUUUCGAUGUUCUGUGUAUAAGUGUGUAUAUAUCCCCCAAAAUGGAGUGUGUGCAUUUAUAUAUUGAUGAUGAUGGAAUGGAAAAAUGAAGAGUGUCCCAUUUGUGAUAUGUGCAUAUGUAUAUAUCUGUCCUUUACUUUAGAUUCCCAAUUGUGGUCCCUCCUAGUUAUUGUUGUUGUUUCUUGGAAGUUUUCUCCAUGUAUAUUUUCCUUUGUGGCCAAGAAAAGAAGAAGGGGGAAGGGAGGGGUCACGUGGAUAUGGGGUGGUGGGGUAGGGGUGUGGGUGAGGUGUCUUCUUUUCAUUGAAAGGUUUGUUAGGAUGUUAAAAAGAAUAAAAGUUUGCUAGGGAUUUUGUUGAGAGUUAUAUUUUUUUUUAUUUUUGUGGGAUGUAAUUACAUGGUGAGGGUAUACGGUAGGAUAAGGUAAAGGUGGGUAGAAAGUGCUAUCGGAAAGGGACAAAAAUUACGUGUCUACAUCAUGCCCCCUUUGAAUGUAAGCACCUAGUGUUUUCAUACAAAGAAGUAGACAACGAGGAAGAAUUUUGUCCCGAUUAUUAUUCAAAGAAAGAAACAGAAAAAGAAGGACAAUCGAGUAUUGACGGACAUCCUACCUACGCAAGUUAUGACGGAAUCAAGUCACGGGUAUCUCAAAGGAUUGGAAAGAGAAGGACAAUAUCGAGUUGGAGAUUCGAGUGAGGUCCCGUCGAGGUUUCGGUUUGCGGCUCUGUUAUUACAUCAAAAAUGAAAAUUACAAGUUAAAACAUAAAUGAAAUUACAAAAAUUCUAAUCUAUGCAACUUUCCUUGACUUGAGUUUCAUCACCCUAUUCUUCAGGCGGGCUCCUGACUUGCACUUUCUUCAACUUGUAGCUUGCUUUUCAAUCUUUUCACCCUGUUCUCCAGGUGGGUUCCUGACUUUCUAUUUCAUCAACUUGUUGCUAUGCUUUUCAAUUUCUACACCCUGUUCUCCAGGCUGAUUCUUGACUUGCUAUUUCAUCAACUUGUUACUAUGCUUUCAAUUUUUUUUCCACCCUAUUCUGCAGGCGGGCUCCUGACUUGCUAUUUUUCAAUCUAUUUAACUUUCAAUUUCUUCACCUUGUUGCUUGGUUUUCCAUUUAUUCGACCUGUGCUUCGGGCAUGCUCCUGAAAUCACAUCAAAACUGAAAAGAAAAUUAUCCCAAAUAAAAAAAUGCAUUUUCUAUGAGUUAAUUGGAAUGACUCGACUAAAAGGUACUUCUUUUAGGAAUCAAGGGGGACGACUCGACUGAAAGGUAUGUCUUAUAGGAAUCCAGAGGGAUGACUUGACUAAAAGGUAAGUCUUAUAGGAAUCAAAGGGAAUGACUCGACUAAAAGGUACGUCUUCUAGGGGCCAAAGGGAAUGGCUCGACUAAAAGGUACAUCUUAUAGGAAUCAAGGGAAAUACUCGACUAAAAGAUAUGUCUUAUAGGAAUCAAAGGAAACGACUCGACUAAAAGGUACGUCUUCUAGGGGCCAAAGGGAAUGGCUCGACUAAAAGGUACAUCUUAUAGGAAUCAAAGGGGAUGACUCGACUAAAAGGUACGUCUUAUAGGAAUCAAAGGGGAUGACUCGACUAAAAGAUACGUCUUUUAGGAAUCAAGACUUAAGUUAGGAAGUGCAUUACCUAAGAAGAAAAAUUCGAAUUAUCCAAUCAAGGAAGUGUCUUUCCUUUAGGAAGUGCAUUACCUAAGAAGAAAAAUUCGAAUUAUCAAAUCAAGGAAGUGUCUUUCCUUAUCAAUGUUAUUUGAAUCAUCAAAACAAGAAAGUGCGUCUCUUAGAGAUCUUGAAUUAUGAGUUUUACCAUGGUUUUGAUUACCAAACCUGUGCAGCAACCUUGCCUCUUGCAUUUGUUGAGGUGACAAAUUACGGCCUUUGAUGUUUAGGCUCUGAAAUCCUUGAUCUUAAUGCAACAUGUAUUCCUAUUACAUACAAAUAAAACUUGUGAGUUUAAAAACAUGGUGGCUAGUUUGUGGCUUUGGCUUUUGAGGCAAUUGCUCCUGCCCCCGUCACAUUUAGCUUUGCUUCCAACCAUUAGCAUAUGUCAUUGACUUGCUGUAUCAUUGACUCAAACUCAGCUUAUUAAGAGUGACUCUGAAACAAACAUAGUAUUUCUGCUUUGUCGGGUUUCUCAAAUAAACCCUUUGAAUCUUGGUAUUUCCAUGAGUUUCCCGACUUCUCUGUUGACAAAACUUCCUGCAUGCCUUUUUUGGGCUCACAAUCAUGUCUCUUUCAUGUGCUAGUUUUUGUCUUGCUUUGUGCAAUUAAAGAAGCUGGUAGCCAGUUUUGAAAUCUUUUCUCACUUGUUUUGACACGGACUUGACUCAAAGACAAGAAACAAAAAAAAGAAUGACAAUUUUUGUUUUGAUAAAUGACUUAAGAAAGAUAAAAUUAAAAUAAAGAGAAGAAAGNNNNNNNNNNNNNNNNNNACAGUCAACACUAAUGAUUAUGCCAUGCAUUUUGGAUUAAGCAGCUUGAUCUUUUUAUCCAAACUUUCUACCCAUUGUUGUAGAGUUAAUAGCCUUGAAACUGAGUUGCUUUCUUAGGUCAAUUGCAUUUAAGACCCCAUUCGACUAGUGGCGCCUUGAAGGAUUUUCGCCAACAAGCUUCCUUUAUUUUCUCUCGGCUCACUAUCGCCUUAUGGUGCCCGUGAGGGUUUUCACCAAUAAGACUCUCUCAUUUUUAUUUCUCUCUUGAUUCCCUAUGCUGAGGAAGACAAAUAGUUCCCAAAUACAUCAUCAUAUCCCUUGCAUGCUCAGCUUUAACAUACUCAAAGAUUGAUCUGAAGGGCUUUCUUUGGUUGUAACUUGACUUUUGGAUAAGGUUAGAAAGAAAGGAUGGCAUGGGGCCCAAACGACACUUAAAGUGGGAUAGGACUUCCAACUUUUGGAAUCGACUCAAACAAUAAGGAUUAACUCAUGCCCCAGUUUUUUCUUACUGGGUGACUCUAAAUUAUUUAUUUGGUUGGACCGAGCCCUUAGUAGGGCAGCCUACGUAUCUCACCCCCCGAGAGGAGAAUCAGGUCAUGCGUAGUUCUGACAGCUUUUCUUUUCACUUAAUUCUAAGUUUUUUUGUUUUUUUUCCUUUUGUUGACUCUUUUCUCUUUGGGACUUUUCUGACUUUAUUUUUCUCGACGCUCNNNNNNNNNNNNNNNNNNNNNNNNNNNNNNNNNNNNNNNNNNNNNNNNNNNNNNNNNNNNNGAAAACGAAAGAUAAAGAUCAUUUGUGGCACUUUAACAACACUAACUUCAACUGAGCAUGUAUGUCACUUCUUUUUCUACACUUGUCAAACAUACAACUCCAUUUUUAUUGUACAUUCCUCAUGUUGAAGGACUCAUGACUUCGUGGAGUUGAUUUUCUUCCUGUUCCUUUUGACAUAGGAUCACACAUUCAUUACUUGACCUAAUUGAGAUAUGUCUUUCAAUUGAUGACCAAGUUAUUCUCACGAUUUUUAAAAUAAUAGCCUUAAUUUUCAAAGAAGGUUUCAACUUGAUCACCAAAUGCCCCAGCACUCUAUCUAUUUCCUCAGAUGCUCUCUUUUUCUAACUUUAAACCUCUGAUUCAAUGUUCAUUCUUAAAAUGGAUGUUAAGAUCUAGCUGUAAAUUUCACUAGCAUAUCAUAUCACUAGAGUCAACAUAAAAUGUACUAUUCAACAUAAAAUGUACUAUGUAAAAAAUAACACAUUUAAAACACAAAGAAAAAUGGGACACUCCAUUUAAUAAAAAAUGAAAGAUAGAAGGGUUUGAACAUAAACGACAAAGGGACAAAACAAAAUAGAUCCCGAACUACAAGCCUGAAAUAAUUUGAAAAACAGUAAAGAAGACAAAACAAACUACCAGGCCUCUUCCUAGUAGGGAGAUAGGUGAAUUCUCAAUUGCUCAACCUGACAACUUAGCCGCUGGUUUGCAUAUCAGCAUGACUAAAGCUUCCCUCACUAUCAAUGUUCUGCACAAUAAUUGAUCCAUCAUGAAUUAUCUUUUCAAUUUCUCUUUUCAAAUCUCUACAAUCUUCAAUACUAUGACUCUGAGCCUCAGAAUGAUACGCACAUCGUGUAUUUAGGAUCAAAAUUUCUUGAACGCCGAUUAAGGGUGUGCCCAAGAAGAGGAGUGAUCAUUCCUUCCUAUAUCAAUCUCUAAAAUAAACUGGCAUAUAACUCUUCAAUUGGUGUGAAGCUAUCUCUCGACUUCUGCCUCAUUUCAUUGUUUGGCUUGGAUAGAAAAUCUUGCUUAGAAGGGUUUUGGUAUGUUUAUGGAGUUAGAGGAUGACUCUGGGGCAUUGGGGUAUGCCAUUGUGGGUAAGAUGAGGGUUGAACAUGUGGUUGUGCAUUAUACACUGUAUAUGGAUGUGGAGGAACAGAGUAUAAUGGAUUUUGGGAGUGAUUAUGUGGAGCCUGGGCAUAAACUUGAGCUUGAGCCUGAGAUCGACGACGACGUGGUCUUCUUGACCUUUAUUGCUAUCCAACUAUAAUUGCAGAUGCAUCUUCCUCAUUCUUUUUCUCCCCAACACUUCCUGAACCCUUUUGAAUUACUUGAGUAGUCGCUUUUAAUGUUGCAAAACUCAUAAUGCGACCAGUAUUAAUUUCCUCUUCUAUCAUCUCCCCCAUUUUAAGGAACUCAAUGAACGGCUUGCCUAAUGCAGGUAACAAGUGUUGAUAAUAUGUUUCGUCCUGCGAUUGAAUAAACACCUCCACUAUUUUGCUUUCUUUCAUCGGCGGUUUUACUCUAGCAGCUUGUUUGCACCAUCUGAUCACAUACUCCCUGAAACACUCAGUAUUCUUCUUUGUUAUACUAGUUAGGGAUUUUUCGUCAGGGAUCAACUCUACAUUGUAUUAAAAUUAUUACACAAAUUCGUUACCUAGGUCAUCCCAACUAGUCUAUUUGUCAAUGUCUUGGUCAACAAACUAUUUUGAAGCUAAACCUGAAAGACUCUCACCGAAAUAUGCCAUGAGUAAUUCUUUCUUCCCUCCAGUGCCCCUUAGCUGGUUGCAAUAAUGUCUCAAAUGUGCUACAGGAUCGCCAUGUCCAUCAUACUUCUCAAACUUUGGCAUUUUAAAACCAAGAGGAAAAUGUACACCAGGAAACAUGCAUAGAUCUUUAUAUGAGACACUUUUGUACCCCGCAAGUCCUUGCAAGUUUUUCAUAGUCAGUUCCAAACUUCUCAAAUUUUUGGCUAUUUCCUCUUGUUCUUCUAUCAUAACAGGAUUCUCAGUGUUAGGAGGAAAUUCAGGCAGUUGAGAGCACUCGCAAGGAUCAGUCGACUUAAAUGUAGGCUCGAGAGCAUAAUGCUGAUCACUAAAAAUAUUCAAUGCAGUAUCUCUUGUAGAGUAGGGAGGCACAACUUGUGGAUGAACAUCAAAAGUAGGAGGUGGGGGUAGCGCCGCAAAAGCAUGAACAACAGCUGGAGCCGCGAGUAUGUGGUAGUCUUGGAUUGGGGAGUGAGGAAAUGAACAUUGGAAGUGGUUGUAUAUUGUUGCCCCAGAGUCGAUCCUGAUGCAUGUUGUGGCAUAUCAACAAAAAUGGGAAAUUGUGCAUGUGACACAGGAGGUAAGCUAGAAAGAUAUUCCAGAUUAUCAGUGGGAACUGGAGAAGGCGGCAACCUAUUAGCCCAAGCUUGAUGCAUUUCUAUUAUUUGCCGCUUUAAUUUCUGAAUCUCUUCAUUAUCUCCUACAUUCUCAUUCCCCGAAAUCCUUAUCUGAUUAGUGACAACUAACUCGGUAUCCUUGUUGGCCAUAACUUUCUCUGUGACUUGGAGCAAUAUGGAGGACCAGCCAAAAUGCCACAAACCAACCACCUUAAACUAAUUGGACAAGAGAUAGCAAAUGCGUUAAAGUUCAACAAUUUUUCAAAACCUCUUUUCUUUUUUGAAAAAAAAUCACCAAACCCUAGAAGGGCGCCUACGUAUCUCACUCCCAAAAGAGGAGAAUCAGGUGUGCGUAGUUUGUGAAGUUUUGCCAAAAUGGCCAAUUAAACUCUUUUUUAUUUCUUGAAACAAAGUGUCAAAAAAAUUGACAAAAUCUUUUUGCAUUUUUUUUAGGUUUAAAUCUCUAUACAAAAUGAAACCUGUGAUUACCAAAGAAAAAUCUUUUUGAGUUUUCAAUUUUUGAACUUCAUGUGAAAAUGAAACUUUAACCUAUUAAAGAAAAAUAUUUUUGUAGUUUUCUUUUAAAGACGUAUAUGAAAUGCCUACUCUAAAUGGAGAGUGAAGAAAUAUUUUUGGAUUUUUCAAAUAAGAUCCCCGAACCAACAAUAGGCUGCCUACGUAUCUCACUCCCGAAAGAGGAGAAUCAGGGGUGCGUAGUUCGUCAGAUUGAACAAUUAACGAUUAACUAAUAAAUUGACCCUAACUUAAGAGACACAACCAAAAACACACGAAUAAAAACUUUUUGGAUUUUCAACUAGACACUUCAACUAAGACUGACACCACCAAUUAUGAAGAAAAAUCUUUUUGGUAUUUUUGCUUUUGACAAAUAAGUAGAAAAGGCAAACAAAACCCUUUUUUUUUCUUUUUCUUUUUGUUGAACUUACGGUACUUUGAGAAGAUAAAUGCAAAACGUAAAAAAAAUCUUUUUGAGUUUUUGGAUCGUGAAGAACAAAAGUCAUAAAGAACUCUAAAAUAAAUUACGACACUCCUUUUGAUUCAUUCUUUUCGACUCACUUUUUCUAAUUUUUUUUCUUUUUUUUUCUUUUUCUUUUUUUUUUGCCUACGCACCUUACUCCUAACAAAUGUUUUUUUUUCAAAUCAGUCCGUCGAAUGACCACGUUACCCUUAAAGAUGCAACAGUUAGAAUGUAGGGAUGCUUUAGAGGUGAGUCUCCUACAAAGGGUCAUGUGGGUCCCGCUAGGUCUUAGUAUGAUGCACAUAAGUAUGACCUAAAGGCUGACCUACGUUGUGGUUUACUAACAAGGUUUUCGGGGGAGGCGUAUGGUCGAUAGUGGCUGAUUUGCUUUCCACCUACUCCAUAAAACCGACGGCUCCCCCCCUAAAAUAAGGGUGACUCAACUAGAGGUCGUGUACAACACGUGUACUACGAACUUGUUGCAGAAAGAAGGCCUGGGGGUAGACACAUGAUGCCAGAUAUAAAAACGGUAACAUAUAGGAUAAAUACUGUACCCAAAGAGCACAAAAAUGCACAACAGUGAUAACAAUAACACAAACAAUAAUCACAAACAAGGUUUAUAUACCCAUAAUGCCAAACAAAGCCGAUACGACUCCAAAAAUAAGACCGAAUUCUGAAAAGAUCCCCAGCAGAGUCGCCAGAGCUGUCACACCC